This 446-nucleotide ribosomal RNA is filed under the name uncultured bacterium. RNAcentral describes it as "partial 16S ribosomal RNA". It matches the Rfam family "Bacterial small subunit ribosomal RNA", at positions 338 to 795 of the family's 1533-position model. The record is from RNAcentral.
CCUACGGGUGGCAGCAGUCGAGAAUCAUUCACAAUGGGGGAAACCCUGAUGGUGCGACGCCGCGUGGGGGAAUGAAGGUCUUCGGAUUGUAAACCCCUGUCAUGUGGGAGCAAAUUAAAAAGAUAGUACCACAAGAGGAAGCGACGGCUAACUCUGUGCCAGCAGUCGCGGUAAUACAGAGGUCUCAAGCGUUGUUCGGAAUCACUGGGCGUAAAGCGGGCGUAGGCGGUUUAGUAAGUCGUGUGUGAAAGGCGCGGGCUCAACCCGCGGACGGCACAUGAUAUUGCGAGACUAGAGGAAGGGAGGGGGAACGGGAAGUCUCGGUGUAGGAGUGAAAUGCGUAGAGAUCGAGAGGAAGACUCGUGGCGAAGGCGGGUUCCUGGACAUUAACUGACGCUGAGGCACGAAGGCCAGGGGAGCGAAAGGGAUUAGAUACCCUUGUAGUC